GCCUUAGUAGCUACACAUUUAAAGCACCGACCUUGUAAGCCGGAGAUCGGGAACUAAUAAAUCCCCUAAGACA
RNAcentral lists this transfer RNA (73 nucleotides) under Leiopelma hochstetteri. Its description in RNAcentral is "tRNA-Thr". It matches the Rfam family "tRNA". Rfam says of the family: Transfer RNA (tRNA) molecules are approximately 80 nucleotides in length. Their secondary structure includes four short double-helical elements and three loops (D, anti-codon, and T loops). Lineage: Eukaryota; Metazoa; Chordata; Amphibia; Anura; Leiopelmatidae. The record is from RNAcentral.